Molecule: ribosomal RNA, 468 nt
Filed under: uncultured bacterium
Lineage: Bacteria
Description: partial 16S ribosomal RNA
Rfam family: Bacterial small subunit ribosomal RNA
Source: RNAcentral
GACGAACGCUGGCGGCGUGCUUAACACAUGCAAGUCGAACGGAAAGGCCCUGCUUUUGUGGGGUGCUCGAGUGGCGAACGGGUGAGUAACACGUGAGUAACCUGCCCUUGACUUUGGGAUAACUUCAGGAAACUGGGGCUAAUACCGGAUAGGAGCUCCUGCUGCAUGGUGGGGGUUGGAAAGUUUCGGCGGUUGGGGAUGGACUCGCGGCUUAUCAGCUUGUUGGUGGGGUAGUGGCUUACCAAGGCUUUGACGGGUAGCCGGCCUGAGAGGGUGACCGGACACAUUGGGACUGAGCUGCGGCCCAGACUCCUCCGGGAGGCAGGAGUGGGGAAUAUUGCACAGUGGGCGGAAGCCUGAUGCAGCAACGCCGCGUGCGGGAUGACGGCCUUCGGGUUGUAAACCGCUUUCGCCUGUGACGAAGCGUGAGUGACGGUAAUGGGUAAAGAAGCACCGGCUAACUACGUG